Molecule: ribosomal RNA, 274 nt
Filed under: uncultured bacterium
Lineage: Bacteria
Description: partial 16S ribosomal RNA
Rfam family: Bacterial small subunit ribosomal RNA
Source: RNAcentral
AUACGGAGGGUGCAAGCGUUAUGCGGAAUCACUGGGCGUAAAGGACGCGUAGGCGGGUUGGCAAGUCAGAUGUGAAAUCCUACAGCUUAACUGUAGAACUGCAUUUGAAACUGCUAACCUAGAGUAUGGGAGGGGGAGAUGGAAUUAGUGGUGUAGGGGUAAAAUCCGUAGAUAUCACUAGGAAUACCGAAAGCGAAGGCGAUCUCCUGGAACAUAACUGACGCUAAGGCGUGAAAGCGUGGGGAGCAAACAGGAUUAGAAACCCUUGUAGUCC